Molecule: ribosomal RNA, 400 nt
Filed under: Buchnera aphidicola (Tuberculatus sp.)
Lineage: Bacteria; Pseudomonadati; Pseudomonadota; Gammaproteobacteria; Enterobacterales; Erwiniaceae
Also listed under: 1 other name
Description: bacterial SSU rRNA
Rfam family: Bacterial small subunit ribosomal RNA
Source: RNAcentral
CGCGAAGAACCUUACCUGGUCUUGACAUCCAUAGAAUUUUUUAGAAAUAAGAAAGUGCCUUUUAGGAACUAUGAGACAGGUGCUGCAUGGCUGUCGUCAGCUCGUGUUGUGAAAUGUUGGGUUAAGUCCCGCAACGAGCGCAACCCUUUUCCUUUUUUGCCAGCGGUUCGGCCGGGAACUACAAGGAUACUGCCGGUUAUAAACCGGAGGAAGGUGGGGACGACGUCAAGUCAUCAUGGCCCUUACGACCAGGGCUACACACGUGCUACAAUGGUACAUACAAAGAGAAGCAAAUUCGCGAGGAUAAGCAAAUCUCAUAAAGUGUAUCUUAGUUCGGACUGGAGUCUGCAACUCGACUCCACGAAGUCGGAAUCGCUAGUAAUCGUGAAUCAGAAUGUCA